AUUGAACGCUGGCGGCAGGCCUAACACAUGCAAGUCGAACGAGAGGCGGACGGGUGAGUAAUGUAUGGGGAUCUGGGUGAUAGAGGGGGAUAACUACGGGAAACGGUGGCUAAUACCGCGUACCAUAGGUGGAGCCCAAAUGGGAUUAGGUAGUAGGUGAGGUAAAGGCUCACCAAGUCGACGAUCUCUAGCUGGUCUGAGAGGAUGAUCAUCCACACUGGUACUGAGACACGGCCCAGACUCCGACGGGAGGCAGCAGUGGGGAAUAUUGCACAAUGGGCGAAAGCCUGAUGCAGCCAUGCCGCGUGGAUGAAGAAGUCCUUAGGGUUGUAAAGUACUUUCAGCAGGGAGGCGUUACCCGCAGAAGAAGCACCGGCUAACUCCGUGCCAGCAGCCGCGGUAAUUC
RNAcentral lists this ribosomal RNA (406 nucleotides) under uncultured bacterium. RNAcentral's name for it is "partial 16S ribosomal RNA". It matches the Rfam family "Bacterial small subunit ribosomal RNA", at positions 30 to 526 of the family's 1533-position model. The record is from RNAcentral.